UAGCAAUACGGCAGCGGCAGACGGGAGAGUAACACGUGGGAACGCGCCCUUCGGUUCGGGAUAACCCAGGGAAACUUGGGCUAAUACCGGAUACGCCCUUACGGGGAAAGAUUUAUUGCCGAAGGAACGGCCCGCGUCCGAUUAGCUAGUUGGUGAGGUAACGGCUCACCAAGGCGACGAUCGGUAGCUGGUCUGAGAGGAUGACCAGCCUCACUGGGACGGAGACACGGCCCAGACUCCUACGGGAGGCAGCAGUGGGGAAUAUUGGACAAUGGGCGCAAGCCUGAUCCAGCCAUGCCGCGUGGGUGAUGAAGGCCCUAGGG
RNAcentral lists this ribosomal RNA (323 nucleotides) under uncultured bacterium. RNAcentral describes it as "bacterial SSU rRNA". It matches the Rfam family "Bacterial small subunit ribosomal RNA", at positions 81 to 422 of the family's 1533-position model. The record is from RNAcentral.